RNAcentral lists this ribosomal RNA (254 nucleotides) under uncultured bacterium. Its description in RNAcentral is "partial 16S ribosomal RNA". It matches the Rfam family "Bacterial small subunit ribosomal RNA", at positions 524 to 776 of the family's 1533-position model. The record is from RNAcentral.
UACAGAGGGUGCGAGCGUUUGUUCGGAAUUAUUGGGCGUAAAGGGCGCGUAGGCGGUGCGGUAAGUCACCUGUGAAAUCUCCUGGCUCAACUGGGAGCUUGCAGGCGAAACUGCCGUGCUGGAGUGUGGGAGAGGUGAGUGGAAUUCCUGGUGUAGAGGUGAAAUUCGUAGAUAUCAGGAGGAACACCAGUGGCGAAGGCGGCUUUCUGGACGGUAACUGACGCUGAGACGCGAAAGCGUGGGGAGCGAACGGG